This 1427-nucleotide ribosomal RNA is filed under the name Vibrio sp. PaD3.37. RNAcentral's name for it is "bacterial SSU rRNA". It matches the Rfam family "Bacterial small subunit ribosomal RNA". Lineage: Bacteria; Pseudomonadati; Pseudomonadota; Gammaproteobacteria; Vibrionales; Vibrionaceae. The record is from RNAcentral.
CAGGCCUAACACAUGCAAGUCGAGCGGAAACGAGUUAUCUGAACCUUCGGGGAACGAUAACGGCGUCGAGCGGCGGACGGGUGAGUAAUGCCUAGGAAAUUGCCCUGAUGUGGGGGAUAACCAUUGGAAACGAUGGCUAAUACCGCAUAAUGCCUACGGGCCAAAGAGGGGGACCUUCGGGCCUCUCGCGUCAGGAUAUGCCUAGGUGGGAUUAGCUAGUUGGUGAGGUAAUGGCUCACCAAGGCGACGAUCCCUAGCUGGUCUGAGAGGAUGAUCAGCCACACUGGAACUGAGACACGGUCCAGACUCCUACGGGAGGCAGCAGUGGGGAAUAUUGCACAAUGGGCGCAAGCCUGAUGCAGCCAUGCCGCGUGUGUGAAGAAGGCCUUCGGGUUGUAAAGCACUUUCAGUCGUGAGGAAGGUGGUGUAGUUAAUAGCUGCUAUUAUUUGACGUUAGCGACAGAAGAAGCACCGGCUAACUCCGUGCCAGCAGCCGCGGUAAUACGGAGGGUGCGAGCGUUAAUCGGAAUUACUGGGCGUAAAGCGCAUGCAGGUGGUUUGUUAAGUCAGAUGUGAAAGCCCGGGGCUCAACCUCGGAAUAGCAUUUGAAACUGGCAGACUAGAGUACUGUAGAGGGGGGUAGAAUUUCAGGUGUAGCGGUGAAAUGCGUAGAGAUCUGAAGGAAUACCGGUGGCGAAGGCGGCCCCCUGGACAGAUACUGACACUCAGAUGCGAAAGCGUGGGGAGCAAACAGGAUUAGAUACCCUGGUAGUCCACGCCGUAAACGAUGUCUACUUGGAGGUUGUGGCCUUGAGCCGUGGCUUUCGGAGCUAACGCGUUAAGUAGACCGCCUGGGGAGUACGGUCGCAAGAUUAAAACUCAAAUGAAUUGACGGGGGCCCGCACAAGCGGUGGAGCAUGUGGUUUAAUUCGAUGCAACGCGAAGAACCUUACCUACUCUUGACAUCCAGAGAACUUUCCAGAGAUGGAUUGGUGCCUUCGGGAACUCUGAGACAGGUGCUGCAUGGCUGUCGUCAGCUCGUGUUGUGAAAUGUUGGGUUAAGUCCCGCAACGAGCGCAACCCUUAUCCUUGUUUGCCAGCGAGUAAUGUCGGGAACUCCAGGGAGACUGCCGGUGAUAAACCGGAGGAAGGUGGGGACGACGUCAAGUCAUCAUGGCCCUUACGAGUAGGGCUACACACGUGCUACAAUGGCGCAUACAGAGGGCAGCAAGCUAGCGAUAGUGAGCGAAUCCCAAAAAGUGCGUCGUAGUCCGGAUUGGAGUCUGCAACUCGACUCCAUGAAGUCGGAAUCGCUAGUAAUCGUGGAUCAGAAUGCCACGGUGAAUACGUUCCCGGGCCUUGUACACACCGCCCGUCACACCAUGGGAGUGGGCUGCAAAAGAAGUAGGUAGUUUAACCUUCGGGAG